Cavia porcellus (domestic guinea pig) is the source of this 118-nucleotide small nuclear RNA. It matches the Rfam family "U4 spliceosomal RNA". From Rfam's summary of the family: U4 small nuclear RNA (U4 snRNA) is a component of the major U2-dependent spliceosome. The structure of U4 snRNA from yeast and human has been reported. NCBI's taxonomy places the organism in Eukaryota, Metazoa, Chordata, Mammalia, Rodentia, Caviidae. The record is from Rfam.
AGUUUUGCACAGGGGCAGUAUUAUAGCCAAUGAGGUUUACACGAGGUGCAACUACUGCUAAUUGAAAACAGAAUUGUCUUAAUUAUGGUUUUUUUUUUUUUGAGGUAUAUAAACAUAU